AUGUCUCAGUACAAGCCAAAUUAAGGUGAAACCGCGAAAGGCUCAUUAAAUCAGUUAUGGUUCCUUAGAUCGUACACACAUUUACUUGGAUAACUGUGGUAAUUCUAGAGCUAAUACAUGCAAACAGAACUCCGACCGGAGACGGAAGGAGUGCUUUUAUUAGAUCAAAGCCAAUCGGUGGCGGUUCGUCCGUCAUCGUAUAACUUGGUGAUUCUGAAUAACUUUUAGCUGAUCGCACGGUCUUGCACCGGCGACGCAUCUUUCAAAUGUCUGCCUUAUCAACUGUCGAUGGUAGGUUCUGCGCCUACCAUGGUUGUAACGGGUAACGGGGAAUCAGGGUUCGAUUCCGGAGAGGGAGCCUGAGAAACGGCUACCACAUCCAAGGAAGGCAGCAGGCGCGCAAAUUACCCACUCCCGGCACGGGGAGGUAGUGACGAAAAAUAACGAUACGGGACUCAUCCGAGGCCCCGUAAUCGGAAUGAGUACACUCUAAAUCCUUUAACGAGGAUCAAUUGGAGGGCAAGUCUGGUGCCAGCAGCCGCGGUAAUUCCAGCUCCAAUAGCGUAUAUUAAAGUUGUUGCGGUUAAAAAGCUCGUAGUCGAAUCUGUGUCCCACGCCGCCGGUUCAUCGUUCGCGGUGUUAACUGGCGUGUCGCGGGACGUCCUGCCGGUGGGCUUAGCUCGCGAGGGCGGCCCAACUCAAUCCCGCUGCGGUGCUCUUCACUGAGUGUCGAGGUGGGCCGGCACGUUUACUUUGAACAAAUUAGAGUGCUUAAAGCAGGCUAAAAUUUCGCCUGAAUAUGUGUGCAUGGAAUAAUGGAAUAGGACCUCGGUUCUAUUUUGUUGGUUUUCGGAACCCCGAGGUAAUGAUUAAUAGGAACGGAUGGGGGCAUUCGUAUUGCGACGUUAGAGGUGAAAUUCUUGGAUCGUCGCAAGACGG
Molecule: ribosomal RNA, 939 nt
Filed under: Trichananca sp. COL327
Lineage: Eukaryota; Metazoa; Arthropoda; Insecta; Coleoptera; Anthicidae
Description: SSU rRNA
Rfam family: Eukaryotic small subunit ribosomal RNA
Source: RNAcentral